AAAGUCGUAACAAGGUUUCCGUAGGUGAACCUGCGGAAGGAUCAUUAUUGAAACAUUGUGAAGGAGGUUGAGCUGGCCUUUUAACCGAGGCAUGUGCUUGCUUCCUUUCAAUCUUCAUCCACCUGUGCACCUUUUGUAGAGGCAUGGCAAAUUUGGAACGGUGUAAAAGCCUAGUACAGGUUCACUGUGCUCUCUAUGUUUUUAUCUACACUAAUGUAUGUUUAUGAAUGUCUAUUGGGGACUUUAUUGACCCUAUAAAAGUUAAUACAACUUUCAGCAACGGAUCUCUUGGCUCUC
RNAcentral lists this unclassified non-coding RNA (297 nucleotides) under Basidiomycota sp. Its description in RNAcentral is "partial contains small subunit ribosomal RNA, internal transcribed spacer 1, and 5.8S ribosomal RNA". The stretch from base 1 to 47 matches the Rfam family "Eukaryotic small subunit ribosomal RNA", at positions 1785 to 1831 of the family's 1831-position model. The record is from RNAcentral. Lineage: Eukaryota; Fungi; Basidiomycota.